Molecule: ribosomal RNA, 810 nt
Filed under: uncultured bacterium
Lineage: Bacteria
Description: bacterial SSU rRNA
Rfam family: Bacterial small subunit ribosomal RNA
Source: RNAcentral
AGAGUUUGAUCAUGGCUCAGAACGAACGCUGGCGGCGUGGAUAAGACAUGCAAGUCGGACGAGAUUUUUCGUUGUAGCAAUACGAUGGAAAGUCUAGUGGCGAACGGGUGCUUAACACGUGGGCAACCUGCCGAGAAGUGGGGGAUAGCUCGCCGAGAGGCGAAUUAAUACCGCAUGUGAUUAGAGUGGACAUCCAUUCGAAAUUAAAGUCGGGGCAACCUGACGCUUCUUGUGGGGCCCGCGGCCUAUCAGCUAGUUGGUGAGGUAAUGGCUCACCAAGGCUUUGACGGGUAGCUGGUCUGAGAGGACGACCAGCCACACUGGGACUGAGACACGGCCCAGACACCUACGGGUGGCAGCAGUCGAGAAUUUUUCUCAAUGGGGGAAACCCUGAAGGAGCGACGCCGCGUGGAGGAUGAAGGUCUUCGGAUUGUAAACUCCUGUCAUUGGGGAACAAUGCGUGAUGGUUAACUGCCGUCGCGUUGAUAGUACCCGAAGAGGAAGAGACGGCUAACUCUGUGCCAGCAGCCGCGGUAAUACAGAGGUCUCAAGCGUUGUUCGGAUUCAUUGGGCGUAAAGGGUGCGUAGGCGGCGCGGUAAGUCGGGUGUGAAAUCUCGGAGCUUAACUCCGAAACUGCAUUCGAUACUGCCGUGCUCGAGGACUGGAGAGGAGACUGGAAUUUACGGUGUAGCGGUGAAAUGCGUAGAUAUCGUAAGGAAGACCAGUGGCGAAGGCGGGUCUCUGGACAGUUCCUGACGCUGAGGCACGAAGGUCAGGGGAGCAAACGGGAUUAGAUACCCCAGUAGUCC